GACGAACGCUGGCUGCGUGCUUAACACAUGCAAGUCGAACGGAAAGGCCCUGCUUUUGUGGGGUGCUCGAGUGGCGAACGGGUGAGUAACACGUGAGUAACCUGCCCUUGACUUUGGGAUAACUUCAGGAAACUGGGGCUAAUACCGGAUAGGAGCUCCUGCUGCAUGGUGGGGGUUGGAAAGUUUCGGCGGUUGGGGAUGGACUCGCGGCUUAUCAGCUUGUUGGUGGGGUAGUGGCUUACCAAGGCUUUGACGGGUAGCCGGCCUGAGAGGGUGACCGGCCACAUUGGGACUGAGAUACGGCCCAGACUCCUACGGGAGGCAGCAGUGGGGAAUAUUGCACAAUGGGCGGAAGCCUGAUGCAGCAACGCCGCGUGCGGGAUGACGGCCUUCGGGUUGUAAACCGCUUUCGCCCGUGACGAAGCGUGAGUGACGGUAAUGGGUAAAGAAGCACCGGCUAACUACGUGCCAGCAGCCGCGGUGAUACGUAGGGUGCGAGCGUUGUCCGGAUUUAUUGGGCGUAAAGGGCUCGUAGGUGGUUGAUCGCGUCGGAAGUGUAAUCUUGGGGCUUAACCCUGAGCGUGCUUUCGAUACGGGUUGACUUGAGGAAGGUAGGGGAGAAUGGAAUUCCUGGUGGAGCGGUGGAAUGCGCAGAUAUCAGGAGGAACACCAGUGGCGAAGGCGGUUCUCUGGGCCUUUCCUGACGCUGAGGAGCGAAAGCGUGGGGAGCGAACAGGCUUAGAUACCCUGGUAGUCCACGCUGUAAACGGUGGGUACUAGGUGUGGGGUCCAUUCCACGGGUUCCGUGCCGUAGCUAACGCUUUAAGUACCCCGCCUGGGGAGUACGGCCGCAAGGCUAAAACUCAAAGGAAUUGACGGGGCCCCGCACAAGCGGCGGAGCAUGCGGAUUAAUUCGAUGCAACGCGUAGAACCUUACCUGGGUUUGACAUGGAUCGGGAGUGCUCAGAGAUGGGUGUGCCUCUUUUGGGGUCGGUUCACAGGUGGUGCAUGGCUGUCGUCAGCUCGUGUCGUGAGAUGUUGGGUUAAGUCCCGCAACGAGCGCAACCCUUGUUCACUGUUGCCAGCACGUUAUGGUGGGGACUCAGUGGAGACCGCCGGGGUCAACUCGGAGGAAGGUGGGGAUGACGUCAAGUCAUCAUGCCCCUUAUGUCCAGGGCUUCACGCAUGCUACAAUGGCUGGUACAGAGAGUGGCGAGCCUGUGAGGGUGAGCGAAUCUCGGAAAGCCGGUCUCAGUUCGGAUUGGGGUCUGCAACUCGACCUCAUGAAGUCGGAGUCGCUAGUAAUCGCAGAUCAGCAACGCUGCGGUGAAUACGUUCCCGGGGCU
Molecule: ribosomal RNA, 1346 nt
Filed under: uncultured bacterium
Lineage: Bacteria
Description: partial 16S ribosomal RNA
Rfam family: Bacterial small subunit ribosomal RNA
Source: RNAcentral